CAGAAAGCCAGUGAGCAGCACGUUGGGAGUAAGCUCUCCUCCACACGAGCCUGAAGUCAUGUGUGUGGCCACCUGGACGGUGACCUGAGCCCUGGAGGGAUCCCACCGGAGACCCACUGCCUGCAGAGCGAAAGGCCCCCAGCAUCGAUGGCUGAGAUGGCGCCUGCAGUUCAAGCGCCUGAGGCGGUCAGCGAGGAUCCAGACAGCACCGAGGUGUUCUACACGGUGGAGAGGGACGAAAGCGGAGAAGUCGUCUGCCUCUGCUCUGACAUGGGGGAGGCCUACAACAAAAUUGGUGGGUCCCCCUUGCGGGUCAGCGACCUGAGGGCGCAUCCGGGCAGACACGGUGCCCU
This 353-nucleotide long non-coding RNA is filed under the name Laticauda laticaudata (blue-ringed sea krait). RNAcentral's name for it is "lncRNA (ENSLLTG00000009465.1)". The record is from RNAcentral. Lineage: Eukaryota; Metazoa; Chordata; Lepidosauria; Squamata; Elapidae.